GCCGUGGUGGUUCAGUGGUAGAAUUCUUGCCUUCCAUGUGGAGGACCCUGGUUCGAUUCCCGGCCAAUGCA
This 71-nucleotide transfer RNA is filed under the name Loxodonta africana (African savanna elephant). It matches the Rfam family "tRNA". From Rfam's summary of the family: Transfer RNA (tRNA) molecules are approximately 80 nucleotides in length. Their secondary structure includes four short double-helical elements and three loops (D, anti-codon, and T loops). Further hydrogen bonds mediate the characteristic L-shaped molecular structure. tRNAs have two regions of fundamental functional importance: the anti-codon, which is responsible for specific mRNA codon recognition, and the 3' end, to which the tRNAs corresponding amino acid is attached (by aminoacyl-tRNA synthetases). tRNAs cope with the degeneracy of the genetic code in two manners: having more than one tRNA (with a specific anti-codon) for a particular amino acid; and 'wobble' base-pairing, i.e. permitting non-standard base-pairing at the 3rd anti-codon position. The record is from Rfam by way of RNAcentral. Lineage: Eukaryota; Metazoa; Chordata; Mammalia; Proboscidea; Elephantidae.